RNAcentral lists this ribosomal RNA (484 nucleotides) under uncultured bacterium. RNAcentral describes it as "partial 16S ribosomal RNA". It matches the Rfam family "Bacterial small subunit ribosomal RNA", at positions 30 to 507 of the family's 1533-position model. The record is from RNAcentral.
AUUGAACGCUGGCGGCAGGCCUAACACAUGCAAGUCGAGCGGAUGAAGGGAGCUUGCUCCUGGAUUCAGCGGCGGACGGGUGAGUAAUGCCUAGGAAUCUGCCUGGUAGUGGGGGAUAACGUCCGGAAACGGGCGCUAAUACCGCAUACGUCCUGAGGGAGAAAGUGGGGGAUCUUCGGACCUCACGCUAUCAGAUGAGCCUAGGUCGGAUUAGCUAGUUGGUGGGGUAAAGGCCUACCAAGGCGACGAUCCGUAACUGGUCUGAGAGGAUGAUCAGUCACACUGGAACUGAGACACGGUCCAGACUCCUACGGGAGGCAGCAGUGGGGAAUAUUGGACAGUGGGCGAAAGCCUGAUCCAGCCAUGCCGCGUGUGUGAAGAAGGUCUUCGGAUUGUAAAGCACGUUAAGUUGGGAGGAAGGGCAGUAAGUUAAUACCUUGCUGUUUUGACGUUACCAACAGAAUAAGCACCGGCUAACUUCGUG